CGCUUCCGCGGGCUAGUUUGGGAGGAAGUCAGAAGGAGCCUUCCGGCCGGGUGCUACGCUCCUUGCGGUCGCUUCGACUGUCUGGUCUACACAGGCGCGCCCCUGCGCAGCCUCCUCCUCCUCCCAGGCACCUCUUCGGACGCGAACACCGUAAACCUCAGGCUUGCUUCUGCAUAAACGAUUCUGCCGUGGCACGCAUUCGGUCCGCAAACGUGCGCUACAGCGCCACAGACACACUGCCCCGGGCCGGGGAAAUGAUGGUGGUGGUGGCGCAGGCCGAAGGCGGGGAGGUUGCAGCGGAGAGGCUGUGGGGGGAGGCCGGGCAAACGGGUCCUCCACGCGUCCUCUCCUUUCAGCCGGUCACGGGCGGGGUCUCCCGCUGCCCCACGGUUACGGACAGCAGUUCCACUGCAGGGGCCAGAGGGCCAGGACAGAAUCUCCCCGCCCUUCCUUGGGGGCAUUUUGGGGGGGGGGGGGUCCCCGAGACUUCAUGGCGAAGGCAGAGGCCCAGACGCCCUCUCCUGGGCUGAGCGCAGCUGCAAACCACACGGCCAGGAACCUUCAGCGUCAGGAACCACCACCCACAGACACCCCGUCUCUCUGCCCUCGAGCGUGGCAAUCCUUCAACUCGGUCCCACCUCCCGCCCCACCCUCCUAGUCUUGGGGUAGCUCCGCCCCUCCUUAGUUCAACCAGAUUAACAGCCGCUACCCCGGGAGUCAGGCCCCUCGUCAUCCUUGGGAUCGCUUCCCCUUCCACUCCCCCUUUCCUGGGAAUUAGGCAUAACCGAGUUUCAAGGAAUGAUAAACUUUCCGAGACUGAAAGGACGCUUAAAGUUUAGGUCUCGAGAUUAUGCCGCUGCUCAAUAUUAAAGCGGCCCAGAGCAAACUUGCCGAGGAGCCUAAUAAAAAUUGAUCCUCUCUGCUCUGCGGCAGGCGGGAAAUAGGCUGGCUGAGCCGGGUAAUAGUGGAAGAAGGCUCCCUCUGAAAUGACAGAUGAAGUCAUAAACAAGUUUGAUCUUGGAAUCAAGCUUCGAUAAAUAUUAAACACAGUCUGCCCCCCCUCUUUGCGCGAGUGGAUUAUGAUAUAUGGCGCGUCGAAACUUUAAAAUAAGGAAAUACCAGAGAAAAUGAUCUCAAUAAAUUUUCUAAGUAUAAACGUUGAUUAUGUUUCGAUUUUCAUUCAAGGGCCUCUGCUGUUCGUUCUUUGGUGCAAAUGACAUCUUGCAAUAGGCUUUUGGGGAAAGGGCCCCUGUUUGAAAAAGAGAGCCCCAGAGGUGUACAAUUUAUGUAAUCUGCGGCUGGAAAAUGAAUUGUGUAAUUUAUUGGAAAACAGAAAGUCAUGAAGAUUGGAUCAGCAUAGCCGAGUCCCAACACCCCUCCCCACAUCCAUCAAGUUCCAAUUAACAGCCUAACCAGAGAGCUUUAAUGGGUUUCCAAUCUAGUGGCCUGAUAGACUCAUCAAUUCCUCUGGGAGAAAUUAAGAAAAUCGACCGCCCCUUGGCGACGCAGUGUCAUUCCUUUCUGCAACUAUAUGUC
Molecule: long non-coding RNA, 1536 nt
Filed under: Bos grunniens (domestic yak)
Lineage: Eukaryota; Metazoa; Chordata; Mammalia; Artiodactyla; Bovidae
Description: lncRNA (ENSBGRG00000025496.1)
Source: RNAcentral